RNAcentral lists this ribosomal RNA (229 nucleotides) under uncultured bacterium. RNAcentral describes it as "partial 16S ribosomal RNA". It matches the Rfam family "Bacterial small subunit ribosomal RNA", at positions 568 to 796 of the family's 1533-position model. The record is from RNAcentral.
UGCGCAGGCGGCCUGAUAAGUCAGGGGUGAAAUAUGUCGGCUCAACCGGCAAACUGCCCCUGAAACUGCCAGGCUUGAGUCCGGGAGAGGAUGGUGGAAUUCCUGGUGUAGCGGUGAAAUGCGUAAAUAUCAGGAGGAACACCGAUGGCGAAGGCAGCCAUCUGGCCCGGUACUGACGCUCAGGCACGAAAGCUAGGGGAGCGAACAGGAUUAGAUACCCUGGUAGUCC